RNAcentral lists this ribosomal RNA (253 nucleotides) under uncultured bacterium. RNAcentral's name for it is "partial 16S ribosomal RNA". It matches the Rfam family "Bacterial small subunit ribosomal RNA", at positions 524 to 776 of the family's 1533-position model. The record is from RNAcentral.
UACGUAGGCAGCGAGCGUUGUUCGGAGUUACUGGGCGUAAAGGGUGCGUAGGCGGUUUUCCAAGUUUGGUGUGAAAUCUCCCGGCUCAACUGGGAGGGUGCGCCGAAAACUAGGGAACUGGAGUACCGGAGAGGUAAGCGGAAUUCCUGGUGUAGCGGUGAAAUGCGUAGAGAUCAGGAGGAACACCUGUGGUGUAGACAGCUUACUGGACGGUCACUGACGCUGAGGCACGAAAGCGUGGGUAGCAAACAGG